UACGUAGGGGGCAAGCGUUGUCCGGAUUUAUUGGGCGUAAAGAGCGUGUAGGCGGCCAUACAGGUCAGCUGUGAAAACUCGAGGCUCAACCUCGAGACGUCGGUUGAAACCGUAUGGCUAGAGUCCGGAAGAGGAGAGUGGAAUUCCCAGUGUAGCGGUGAAAUGCGCAGAUAUCGGGAAGAACACCCGUGGCGAAGGCGGCUCUCUGGAACGCAACUGACGCUGAGACGCGAAAGCGUGGGGAGCAAACAGG
This 253-nucleotide ribosomal RNA is filed under the name uncultured bacterium. RNAcentral describes it as "partial 16S ribosomal RNA". It matches the Rfam family "Bacterial small subunit ribosomal RNA", at positions 524 to 776 of the family's 1533-position model. The record is from RNAcentral.